CAUACAUUCUGCGGGAGCUCGGGUAAACCGGGCUGAGAGGAUGGUUAGUUGUCACCGUCGACCGCUUAACCUGAACUGGGUAAUGCCAGCGGAGGGAACAUCUAAGAAUUUUUU
Molecule: non-coding RNA, 114 nt
Filed under: Novibacillus thermophilus
Lineage: Bacteria; Bacillati; Bacillota; Bacilli; Caryophanales; Thermoactinomycetaceae
Description: TPP sequence
Rfam family: TPP riboswitch aptamer (THI element)
About the family: Vitamin B(1) in its active form thiamin pyrophosphate (TPP) is an essential coenzyme that is synthesised by coupling of pyrimidine and thiazole moieties in bacteria.
Source: Rfam by way of RNAcentral